This 253-nucleotide ribosomal RNA is filed under the name uncultured bacterium. RNAcentral describes it as "partial 16S ribosomal RNA". It matches the Rfam family "Bacterial small subunit ribosomal RNA", at positions 524 to 776 of the family's 1533-position model. The record is from RNAcentral.
UACGGAGGAUUCAAGCGUUAUCCGGAUUUAUUGGGUUUAAAGGGUGCGUAGGCGGUCGGAUAAGUUAGAGGUGAAAUCCCGGGGCUCAACUUCGGAAUUGCCUCUGAUACUGUUCGGCUAGAGAGUAGUUGCGGUAGGCGGAAUGUAUGGUGUAGCGGUGAAAUGCUUGGAGAUCAUACAGAACACCGAUUGCGAAGGCAGCUUACCAAGCUACUUCUGACGUUGAGGCACGAAAGCGUGGGGAGCAAACAGG